UGGAACAAUAGAUGGAAAAC
RNAcentral lists this unclassified non-coding RNA (20 nucleotides) under Mus musculus (house mouse). Its description in RNAcentral is "oocyte_clustered_small_RNA8224". The record is from RNAcentral. Lineage: Eukaryota; Metazoa; Chordata; Mammalia; Rodentia; Muridae.